Long non-coding RNA from Lathyrus oleraceus (garden pea), 546 nucleotides. RefSeq lists it as uncharacterized. Lineage: Eukaryota; Viridiplantae; Streptophyta; Magnoliopsida; Fabales; Fabaceae. The transcript is spliced from 2 exons. The record is from RefSeq and is a predicted model, not a curated record.
UGAUUUUUUCGAUUAGGAGCUGGCAGGGAUUAUAGGAUCAUUCUGUUAGAUUUUCAUCUCCCUGCGAUUUGGUGAAUCUUGCCAAUCUGUUAGGAUUGAAUUGGUUUAUUUUUGUCUGUAGUGAGGUCUUCAUAUCUGUCAAGCUUGGGUGGUCCCCAUUAGCAUUAACAAACGAUUUUCAACUUUUCAAUAUCUCUUUGUUGUUUCAAAUGAGUUUUGAUAUAAGCUGGUUAUGCACAAGUCGUCUUGGUGCGAGCGCGAGGAGGAUGACGAUAAAGUGACUUGCACACUUAGCAUGAAUUUAAUUCAAUGAAAGCUAUGGUCCUGGUUCAACACACUCUCUCUAGUUGGAUGGAUUCAAGUUGCAUGACAUUUUCUUUUGGUCAAAACUUGGUUUUGCAAUUUGUAAUUAAAUAUCAUACCUAUUCCUAAUCAUGAUUUUGGAACAGAAACGUGUAUAAGUUCCCAUUCAUAUGUAUGGCUCUAAAUUUGUGUAAAGAAAGAACUUGAAUUACAUUCGGUGCACAUAAGCAACUCUUUGGAUCA